GACGAACGCUGGCGGCGUGGAUUAGGCAUGCAAGUCGAACGGUAUCAUCCUUUCGGGGGUGAGAGAGUGGCGAACUGGUGAGUAACACGUAGGUUAUCUACCCUCAAGACGGGGACAACCCAGGGAAACUUGGGCUAAUACCGGAUGUGAGCAACUUUUAGUUGUUUGAAAGGUGGCGUAAGCUGUCGCUUGGGGAUGAGCCUGCGUCCUAUUAGUUAGUUCCGGUGAGGUAACGGCUCACCUAGGCAAUGAUAGGUAGGCGGCCUUAACGGGUGGUCGCCCACACUGGGAUUGAGAUACGGCCCAGACUCCUACGGGAGGCAGCAGUCGAGAAUAGUCUACAAUGGUCGGAAGACUGAUAGUGCGACGCCGCGUGAACGAUGAAUCCCUUCGGGGUGUAAAGUUCUUUUAUAUGUGAGCAGUGCUUCUUAUAUUAACAGUAUGGGGAGAGAGAUAUUAGCAUAUGAAUAAGCAACGGCUAACUCCGUGCCAGCAGCCGCGGUAAU
RNAcentral lists this ribosomal RNA (506 nucleotides) under uncultured bacterium. Its description in RNAcentral is "bacterial SSU rRNA". It matches the Rfam family "Bacterial small subunit ribosomal RNA", at positions 28 to 524 of the family's 1533-position model. The record is from RNAcentral.